CAAAGAUUAAGCCAUGCAUGUCUAAGUAUAAGCAAUUAUACAGCGAAACUGCGAAUGGCUCAUUAUAUAAGUUAUCGUUUAUUUGAUAGUACCUUACUACUUGGAUAACCGUGGUAAUUCUAGAGCUAAUACAUGCUAAAAAUCCCGACUUCGGAAGGGAUGUAUUUAUUAGAUUAAAAGCCAAUGCCCUCCGGGGCUCACUGGUGAUUCAUGAUAACUUCUCGAAUCGCACGGCCUUGCGCCGGCGAUGGUUCAUUCAAAUUUCUUCCCUAUCAACUUUCGAUGUUUGGGUAGUGGCCAAACAUGGUGGCAACGGGUAACGGAGGGUUAGGGCUCGACCCCGGAGAGGGAGCCUGAGAAACGGUAAAUUUUCUGCUCCUACUAUUCCGAACCACUGCUAACGUCCCCAGGCUACCACAUCCAAGGAAGGCAGCAGGCGCGCAAAUUACCCAAUCCCGACUCGGGGAGGUGAGUUUUCUUUACCUCUGACAGCGGGGCACGGCCACUAACUCGGAGCAGGUAGUGACAAUACAUACUGAUACAGGGCUCUUUUGGGUCUUGUAAUCGGAAUGAGUACAAUUUAAAUCCCUUAACGAGGAACAAUUGGAGGGCAAGUCUGGUGCCAGCAGCCGCGGUAAUUCCAGCUCCAAUAGCGUAUAUUAAAGUUGUUGUGGUUAAAAAGCUCGUAGUUGAACCUUGGCCCUGGCUGGCCGGUCCGCCUCACCGCGUGCACUGGUCCGGCCGGGGCUUUCCCUCUGUGGAACCCCAUGCCCUUCACUGGGUGUGGCGGGAAAACAGGACUUUUACUUUGAAAAAAUUAGAGUGCUCCAGGCAGGCCUUUGCUCGAAUACAUUAGCAUGGAAUAAUGAAAUAGGACGCGCGGUUCUAUUUUGUUGGUUUCUAGGACCGCCGUAAUGAUUAAUAGGGACAGUCGGGGGCAUCAGUAUUCAAUUGUCAGAGGUGAAAUUCUUGGAUUUAUUGAAGACUAACUACUGCGAAAGCAUUUGCCAAGGAUGUUUUCAUUAAUCAGGAACGAAAGUUAGGGGAUCGAAGACGAUCAGAUACCGUCGUAGUCUUAACCAUAAACUAUGCCGACUAGGGAUCGGGCGGUGUUAUUUUUUGACCCGCUCGGCACCUUACGAGAAAUCAAAGUGCUUGGGCUCCAGGGGGAGUAUGGUCGCAAGGCUGAAACUUAAAGAAAUUGACGGAAGGGCACCACCAGGUGUGGAGCCUGCGGCUUAAUUUGACUCAACACGGGGAAACUCACCAGGUCCAGACACAAUUAGGAUUGACAGAUUGAAGUUCUUUUAUGAUUUUGUGGGUGGUGGUGCAUGGCCGGUAAGCCUAUCGUCCCCUGGAAGCUGGGAAAUGCUAACCGUUUCCAGUUCUUAGUUGGUGAAGUGAUUUGUCGGCUUUAUUGCGAUAACGAACGAGACCGCGACUGCUAAAUAGCCCGCGCCGCCUCGGCGGCGUGCCGGCUUCUUAGCGGGACUCUCGGUGUAAUCCGAUGGAAGUACGCGUCAAUAACAGGUCUGUGAUGCCCUUCGAUGUUCUGGGCCGCACGGUAUGUUCCUACGCUCUCUACUGUUAAAUGUCUCGCUAACCCGUCGCAGCGCGCUACACUGACAGGCCCAGCGAGUUCUUCCUUGGCCGAAAGGUCCGGGUAAUCUUGUUAAAGCCUGUCGUGCUGGGGAUAGAGCAUUGCAAUUAUUGCUCUUCAACGAGGAAUACCUAGUAAGCGCAAGUCAUCAGCUUGCGUUGAUUACGUCCCUGCCCUUUGUACACACCGCCCGUCGCUACUACCGAUUGGAUGGCUUAGUGAGGCUUUCGGACUGGCCCAGGGAGGUGGGCAACCACCACCCAGGGCCGGAAAGU
Molecule: ribosomal RNA, 1875 nt
Filed under: Torpedospora radiata
Lineage: Eukaryota; Fungi; Ascomycota; Sordariomycetes; Torpedosporales; Torpedosporaceae
Description: SSU rRNA
Rfam family: Eukaryotic small subunit ribosomal RNA
Source: RNAcentral